This 1168-nucleotide long non-coding RNA is filed under the name Heterocephalus glaber (naked mole-rat). Its description in RNAcentral is "lncRNA (ENSHGLG00000036266.1)". The record is from RNAcentral. Lineage: Eukaryota; Metazoa; Chordata; Mammalia; Rodentia; Bathyergidae.
GGCCCUGCUGGGCCCGGCGAAGAUCUGGGCUCUACGCUCCUGGUGCUGCGGUCCCGCCUGAGUCCGUUUGCGCGUGUAAACGACCUGCCGUCCGCCGUGCGUGGCUUUCCUCGUGGCCCCAAGAGCUACGGCCCGGGGUAGACGUGACUCGAAGACCUUGGGAAGCUGCGCGCGACGGGGAAGGGGCAGCUGUGACCCAGGCCCAGGGGAGCCCCAGCUCCGAGGACUCCACAGCGCGAGGGACAGGCGGCUCAGCCACCAACAGUAGGGGUAGUUUCGGCCCCCCACGCCCUUGCCUGCUGGGAGAUCCUGGCUCAGGGUGGCACAGAGCCCCACCGUGCUCCGCGGGGACCAGAGACCCAAGGGACAGAGGACAGCUACUCAUUAAAACAUGUUCUGCUGUCACAGACACAAGGACCUCACCCGCUGGUGGGCACAGUGGCAUUCACCAAACGAGGGCCCGGGUUCUGACGCCGGCGGUCGGUCCAGCCCCUCAGCUACUGGCCAGCAGUGGGCCGUGGGCAGUGUGAUUGCCUGCUGAGUACCAGCCGCUCCCUGCAAGCUGAACCAGGUGGGCUCCGGAAGUCAGAAGUGACCUGCAGGCCAGAGCAGGAAGUGGUCAGGGGCCAAGAGAGGCUGUGCUGUCCCAUGGCCCUGCCCUUCUGCCACCUGGCUGCACAAGGCCAAGCUAACCUGGCCAGGCACUGCAGAGCCUGUCCCCCCCUGCAUGCAGUGCCCCCUUGCCCACCCUCGUCCCCACCCUACCCCACUGGUCUCUCUGGCCUGGUGGAGUUGCCACUGAGGCAAAAGACAGAACAAAACUAGGUGAAGGCUGAAUGUGUAGUGGCGCAAGCCUGUAAUCCCAACACUCUGGAGGCUGAGGCAGGAAGAUUGCAAGUUCAAGCCCAGCCUGGGCAACUUAAUGCCUUGGCGAGACCCUGCCUCAAAAUAAAAAAUUUAAAAAGGGCCAAGGAUGUAGCUCAGUUUGGAGGCCCUGGGUUCAGUGCCCAGUACCACAAAAAUAGUGCCAAACCUAUGAUUUUUACAAAUCCUAGAAGCCACACACAGACUACGCCGAAGACGGCGCCCUGGCGCAGAGUCUGUACAGAGGCUGCGGCCUGGUGGUUUUCACACCGGACACUUGGUGUCUCAUCUUUCCAACCCGCAG